CCUACGGGAGGCAGCAGUGGGGAAUCUUGGACAAUGGGGGAAAGCCUGAUCCAGCAAUGCCGCGUGCGUGAAGAAGGCCUUCGGGUUGUAAAGCGCUUUUGUCCGGGAGGAAAUCCUGAGAGCUAAUAUCUAUUGGGGAUGACAGUACCG
RNAcentral lists this ribosomal RNA (150 nucleotides) under uncultured Iodobacter sp. RNAcentral describes it as "partial 16S ribosomal RNA". It matches the Rfam family "Bacterial small subunit ribosomal RNA", at positions 338 to 480 of the family's 1533-position model. Lineage: Bacteria; Pseudomonadati; Pseudomonadota; Betaproteobacteria; Neisseriales; Chitinibacteraceae. The record is from RNAcentral.